Anneissia japonica is the source of this 619-nucleotide long non-coding RNA. RefSeq lists it as uncharacterized. The transcript is spliced from 3 exons. The record is from RefSeq and is a predicted model, not a curated record. Lineage: Eukaryota; Metazoa; Echinodermata; Crinoidea; Comatulida; Comatulidae.
UAAUUGUGAUAUGAAAACUGUUUCGAUGAGAAACUAUAUUGUUGAGGGCGUAAAUUUUCUAUCACCAAUCGUAACGUAGAGGGCGUAAAUAGCGUGGGUAAUUCAGAUUUGACGAUGAAUUCGCUGUCACACGUUAUGUUUUUAUGCUAAAGUAAUUGCUGGUUUUAUCUGUUAAAACCAUUUCUGAAGUUUGAUAUCAUGCUGUAUAUGAUAUAAUGUAUUACUGGUGCAAUUACUGUAAACUGAUGUACUGUAUUGAAUUGAUGUGUAGUUGGGGAGAUAAGUUAAUUGAAUAAAUAUUUUAUCUAGUAAUUUUACUGGAUUGUUUAUCUCAAUACUUUCUCCCUGCGUCUGAUCCGAUCCCUCGCCUCGCCACAAUUCAAUUAACUUAUACUGAUGUCGGAACCAACUGCAAACAUGGAGGUGCAGGAUCGAACUGCUUUGAAGAGGAACCGAGCUGUGCGCAAGGGAAAGUUGACCAUAGCCUUAAAUGAGUUACAUGCUGAAUUAAAGGAAGAAGACGUGGUCGCGGAACAGAUUCGCCUGCUGCUUGAAAGAGCAAAGAUCCGACUUGAUGCUGCUGAAGACGCUCACGAUGCGCUAGUUGACACCAUUAUGG